RNAcentral lists this ribosomal RNA (253 nucleotides) under uncultured bacterium. Its description in RNAcentral is "partial 16S ribosomal RNA". It matches the Rfam family "Bacterial small subunit ribosomal RNA", at positions 524 to 776 of the family's 1533-position model. The record is from RNAcentral.
UACAGAGGUCUCAAGCGUUGUUCGGAUUCAUUGGGCGUAAAGGGUGCGUAGGCGGCGCGGUAAGUCGGGUGUGAAAUCUCGGAGCUUAACUCCGAAACUGCAUUCGAUACUGCCGUGCUUGAGGACUGGAGAGGAGACUGGAAUUUACGGUGUAGCGGUGAAAUGCGUAGAUAUCAGGAGGAACACCUGUGGUGUAGACGGCUCUCUGGACCGCAACUGACGCUGAGACACGAAAGCGUGGGUAGCAAACAGG